AUUGAACGCUGGCGGCGUGCCUAACACAUGCAAGUCGAGCGGUAACAGGUGUAGCAAUACAUGCUGACGAGCGGCGAACGGGUGAGUAAUGCUUCGGAAUCUACCUUAUGGUGGGGAAUAACUAGCCGAAGGGUUAGCUAAUACCGCAUACGUCCUACGGGAGAAAGCAGGGGAUCGCAAGACCUUGCGCCAAAAGAUGAGCCGAAGUCGGAUUACGUAGUUGGUAGGGUAAGGGCCUACCAAGGCGACGAUCCGUAGCUGGUCUGAGAGGACGACCAGCCACACUGGGACUGAGACACGGCCCAGACUCCUACGGGAGGCAGCAGUGGGGAAUAUUGGACAAUGGGGGAAACCCUGAUCCAGCGACGCCGCGUGUGUGAAGAAGGCCUGCGGGUUGUAAAGCACUUUUAGUGGGGAUGAAAUGUGCAGGGUUAAUACCUCUGCAUUUUGACCUAACCCACAGAAAAAGCACCGGCUAACUCUGUGCCAGCAGCCGCCGUAA
This 502-nucleotide ribosomal RNA is filed under the name uncultured bacterium. RNAcentral describes it as "partial 16S ribosomal RNA". It matches the Rfam family "Bacterial small subunit ribosomal RNA", at positions 30 to 523 of the family's 1533-position model. The record is from RNAcentral.